RNAcentral lists this transfer RNA (88 nucleotides) under Blumeria graminis f. sp. tritici. It matches the Rfam family "tRNA". From Rfam's summary of the family: Transfer RNA (tRNA) molecules are approximately 80 nucleotides in length. Their secondary structure includes four short double-helical elements and three loops (D, anti-codon, and T loops). The record is from Rfam by way of RNAcentral. Lineage: Eukaryota; Fungi; Ascomycota; Leotiomycetes; Helotiales; Erysiphaceae. RNAcentral also lists the same sequence under 1 other name.
GCGGCCUUAGCUCACUUGGGAGAGCGCCAGACUGAAGAUCGUCAGUCACGUAAUCUGGAGGCACUGUGUUCGAUCCACAGAGGCCGCA